AUUGUAGUGGAAUCAGUUCACAUCCGUGGCUGUGAGAGGACUGGCGAUGAGUUAGGAAAAAAAAAAAAGAGAGUGGUCUGUUUGCUCGCGUGGCAGGCGCUAAUUUCUCACUGUGCUCAAAAACCACUGUCUUCAUCUUCACAGGAAACAUCAAACUCAGAGGUGACGGUGUCGAGCAGCAGCAGGCAGGUCCUCCCAGGCAGUCAGCAGCUACAUUUCAACCAAGAAGCGACGAUGUCAUACGGCGACAGCAACCUGGAAUCAAGUUUUGAAAACCAUCAGAAUGAAACAGGUAAGAUUUUGUUAACAUAUUUAUAUUCUCUCCCAUGCACACCGACACUGAGGCCUGCCUUUGUACUUCUGUCUGUGCCGACUUUUAGAAGAGGAGGAGUUUCCCAGGUACACUACAAAAGAACUGAGGGAUCGCUUUGAAAGAACAAUAGAGGAGGCUGCUCCACAAAAACCAGUGAGGGUAAGCAUCUACGUUUCACUUGAGUUGGACAAAAGUAUUGAAGCUAUGAAAGAAAGAGAUAUUUAAUUUAGGAUAUUUAAAACUGUAUUAGGUUUAAUUUGAUGAGGUAAAUACUGGUUAUUUGUUAAAGUUGUAAUCCUUAAGAUUUUAAUCCUGGUUGAUUCAAUUGCAUGUGUGAUUAAAUAUUACAGCAAAUACUCCUUCUACAAUUGAUGGACGAAUGGGUUUUUCGACCCAUUCUCAUUGAAUUUUGUACAAAUACGGCCAACUUGAAUGCAGGUGAUCAAUCCAAUCCUUCCCUUUCAUUGAUCCACAAGUUUCCUGAGGAGGUCACUGGGGAGGUGAAAUGGUUAUAGAUGAUAAUGUGGGCACUUGGUGGAACUAGCAAAAGCAAUACAAUAUCAUCUUAAAAUGGACACAGGAGGCACUUUCAGGGCUUUAGAAGUGAUUGCUAAGUGGACUAAGAAACGAUAAUAGUGUAAGUAGCAUUCAACCAAUAAAGUUGCUAACCUUUAUCUUCAUGAAUGAAUGAUACGCUGCACCAGUCGGUCUAAUAAAAAGGAAUAGCAUUAUGUUUCAGUGAAAAAGGCCAGUUCUGGUUAAGUGACGGGAUCCAGUGGAAGUUGCAAUACAAUUUGCACAAGGUUUAAUAGGGGUUGGGACUCAGGUGGAAAUGAAGAGCAGAUGCAUAACCAGGUGACCUUCAUCCGCAUUGUAACAAAAUGACCACAUAAAGGGCACAGUUUUGUUCGGUUUAGGCGUGAAACUACCGGGUUAAGAGAAGGAAAAGAUGAUGUAACGUGUGAAAUAGGUCA
Molecule: long non-coding RNA, 1287 nt
Filed under: Sparus aurata (gilthead seabream)
Lineage: Eukaryota; Metazoa; Chordata; Actinopteri; Spariformes; Sparidae
Description: lncRNA (ENSSAUG00010018526.1)
Source: RNAcentral